CAAGUCGAACGCCCCGCAAGGGGAGUGGCAGACGGGUGAGUAACGCGUGGGAACAUACCCUUUCCUGCGGAAUAGCUCCGGGAAACUGGAAUUAAUACCGCAUACGCCCUACGGGGGAAAGAUUUAUCGGGGAAGGAUUGGCCCGCGUUGGAUUAGCUAGUUGGUGGGGUAAAGGCCUACCAAGGCGACGAUCCAUAGCUGGUCUGAGAGGAUGAUCAGCCACAUUGGGACUGAGACACGGCCCAAACUCCUACGGGAGGCAGCAGUGGGGAAUAUUGGACAAUGGGCGCAAGCCUGAUCCAGCCAUGCCGCGUGAGUGAUGAAGGCCUUAGGGUUGUAAAGCUCUUUCACCGGAGAAGAUAAUGACGGUAUCCGGAGAAGAAGCCCCGGCUAACUUCGUGCCAGCAGCCGCGGUAAUACGAAGGGGGCUAGCGUUGUUCGGAAUUACUGGGCGUAAAGCGCACGUAGGCGGAUAUUUAAGUCAGGGGUGAAAUCCCAGAGCUCAACUCUGGAACUGCCUUUGAUACUGGGUAUCUUGAGUAUGGAAGAGGUAAGUGGAAUUCCGAGUGUAGAGGUGAAAUUCGUAGAUAUUCGGAGGAACACCAGUGGCGAAGGCGGCUUACUGGUCCAUUACUGACGCUGAGGUGCGAAAGCGUGGGGGAGCAAACAGGAUUAGAUACCCUGGUAGUCCACGCCGUAAACGAUGAAUGUUAGCCGUCGGGCAGUAUACUGUUCGGUGGCGCAGCUAACGCAUUAAACAUUCCGCCUGGGGAGUACGGUCGCAAGAUUAAAACUCAAGGAAUUGACGG
Molecule: ribosomal RNA, 809 nt
Filed under: uncultured bacterium
Lineage: Bacteria
Description: bacterial SSU rRNA
Rfam family: Bacterial small subunit ribosomal RNA
Source: RNAcentral